GCUGAGUGACUAAAAGAUACUCCUCAAUGUAGCUCGAUCACCAACCUUAUAACAUUCUUAAACCAUACCAUCUUCCACCUCUCACAAAACCAGAUUUUUCAAUGCGAGAAAUCAUCACAACUCAACAAUUAUUUCUCAUAACAUUAUGUCUCUCUAAUGCAUCCUAUGUACCCAUUUUUUCAAUUCUUUUGCUCUCUCUUUUCUUUUCUUUUUUUCUUUUCUCCACCAUUCUUUUUUUUUUUCAACAACUUGUAGGGUACUAGGAUUUUCAAUUUGAAACCACAAAACAUAACUCAUGAUCAUUCAUCUCCACAAACCAACUAUUCCAUAUUAACAAUUUCCAAGCUCUCACCCAUAGCUAAAUCAAAGAAUAUGGAAAAAUAAGGCUCAAAGGGGUUGAACUAGGAUCAUAUAAAGAUAUAGGACAAAUAUGGGAUAAAUAGGCUAG
This 448-nucleotide long non-coding RNA is filed under the name Salvia miltiorrhiza (redroot sage). RNAcentral's name for it is "long non-coding RNA (SMIL_LNC001769)". Lineage: Eukaryota; Viridiplantae; Streptophyta; Magnoliopsida; Lamiales; Lamiaceae. The record is from RNAcentral.